GAGUUUGAUCAUGGCUCAGGGUGAACGCUGGCGGCAGGCCUAACACAUGCAAGUCGAACGGCAGCACAGCAGUAGCAAUACUGUGGGUGGCGAGUGGCGGACGGGUGAGGAAUACAUGGGAAUCUGCCCUGUCGUGGGGGAUAACGUAGGGAAACUUACGCUAAUACCGCAUACGACCGAGAGGUGAAAGCGGCGGACCGCAAGGCGUCGCGCGAUUGGAUGAGCCCAUGUCGGAUUAGCUAGUUGGCGGGGUAAAGGCCCACCAAGGCGACGAUCCGUAGCUGGUCUGAGAGGAUGAUCAGCCACACUGGAACUGAGACACGGUCCAGACUCCUACGGGAGGCAGCAGUGGGGAAUAUUGGACAAUGGGCGCAAGCCUGAUCCAGCCAUGCCGCGUGAGUGAAGAAGGCCUUC
RNAcentral lists this ribosomal RNA (414 nucleotides) under uncultured Gammaproteobacteria bacterium. Its description in RNAcentral is "bacterial SSU rRNA". It matches the Rfam family "Bacterial small subunit ribosomal RNA", at positions 9 to 419 of the family's 1533-position model. The record is from RNAcentral. Lineage: Bacteria; Pseudomonadati; Pseudomonadota; Gammaproteobacteria.